GGGGUCGUUGACGGGGGCUGGGAGCUCGAGUUGGUUCACGGUUUGCCUUUUCAUCCUCCCUGCCUCACUCACGCCUCCCCUUUUCUCAUUGACGAGGGCUUCGGCUUGAGGGGCGCCACGAGGAGUGGAAGGCUGAGGUCGUUCGACGGCCGGAGCAGCAGAAGCAAGGACCAAUGGUGGUCAAUGGCUAACCUCUACCUCCUCUCUCUCUCUUUGUGGUUGAGAAGAAGGCCAAAUAGAAGAAGCAGAAUUUGGCGCAAAAGUCUUGCUGAGGUGCCCCAUCCAAGACCCAGAUUCUUCUGAGGUGACCCUAUUGCUCCCCUCAAACCUAGCACCUUUGAUGUUUUGUCAUCAUCAAUUUUGAUACAUACAGUUCUGGAAGCUUUAGGAUUGGUCAUUGCUUGUAACUGUUGUGCGUAACAUGACCUUGUUUAGUCUCUACAAUCUUCAUUCACACGUCUUUGAUGUUUAGUUUGCUAUUAGAUGAUCAAAAGCUAAAGAAUGGACACACAACCAGAAGUUUACAUAUUUUUUUUGCUGGUAAUGUGUCAUCGUCAUCUUUGUUAGCUAGACUUGUCGGUUGUCCUACUUAAUUCCCACCUUAUCAUGAUGCUCUUGAUUUUUAAUCAUGCUUGGAGCUUUGGUCUGCAGCCAUAUAAAAUCAUAUGCUUUGGCUCUAGAUUAGGGUAAUGUUGGAACUUGGGAGGGAGUAACUAAGCCAUACAUUUGGCUCUAGAUUUUCAGUUUGUAUUUGACGGAUGUAGAAACAGAUUUCUAUGAGAUAACGAGUUAACGACACACCACAUUCGGUUGACUGUUGAGGUGUAAAUGGCAUCAGAGUGCUGUAGUAUGCAGUAGCGACCGGCGAGGCAUCGGGAUGUGGCGAGGCAAGGCUGUGGAGUUCAUGAGUUUUCAGGCUGCACGGGAUGCAAGUUAAUGGAUAUUAGGAUGUACAAAUGACUGGUGCAUAAGCUCCUUCGACUAUUUGAUUAAAGAGAGGGCCUGGGUUGACGCUACCAAUAUAUGUGUUGACUACAGAGGCAUAUAAAUAAUAAUCGAUGCCCAAUUCCGUCUCUGUAUUUAAAGGAUGACUGCUUCAUAGGUGUGCUAUCAAAUUCUAUGUUGACUACAGAGGCAUAUAAAUAAUAAUCGAUGCCCAAUUCCGUCUCUGCAUUUAAAGGAUGACUGCUUCAUAGCAGGCUUGCCUUGUGAUCAAACCUGGCAAUGUGCAGCAUGGUGUGGUAUGCACUUCUUCGGUUAUUUGUAUUUCAUUGCCUCGUUAUUUUCUAGGGUUUUUCUUUUAAAUGAGGAGUAAUUCUAUUCCUGUAUGCUUUAAAUCGAUAGCAUGUGGAGAAUUUUUAUGGAAAUGAGGAGUAAUUUUAGGUUGCUACGCCAAUGUUCACAUGAACUUUAAGAUGUAGUAUAAAUUAUAUGUUCAGAUUUUCACAAUCUGCUAGCACCUAUGAUUUUGGGUUAAAAAGAAGUGUGCUAUCCAGACAGUACAAUGCGUGCUUGGGCCCUUUGUCCGUUUUAUGUGAAGAUUUAUUGUGAAAUUUGUCAUAGAUUAGAGAUCUAGAAAAUAUGUAUUGUGCCUUAAGCUUUCCUCGUCAUGCAUAUUGCUAUAUCUGAGCAGCUCCCUAGCGGGUUAUUGGAAGGAAAUAUGCUUUCAUAUGUGCACGGAUUUCUGGACCUUAUUUGCUUUUGUCAAUUUAGCCAUUAUUCACCCAUUUCCCUAAAUUUAUUGAUACUUUUAAUAUGUUACUGGUGUCAACAAAACAAUGUUGAGACUUAUAAUUGCUUGUCUAUCAGGAAAACAUAUUAUUAAGACGAUUCCAUAGAUAAUCAAUAAUGUGUAAAAACUCCAUUUGUGAAUAUUAUAUGCGAAAGAAAAUAUUGCUUUGUGAUGCUUAUGUCUCUAAGAAAUUCAGUGGGAAGAGGAUCUGGGCAGGGGGUUUGAUUUUUCUUUUCUGGUUUUGCAACAUGAUGCAACAUUGCUUCGUUCCCCCAUUUACCAUAUGCAAAUCUUGGUCUACAAUUUAUUUUAAUUGUUUUAAAACAUAUAAACGAUAUUUUUAAUACACAUUCCAUCCUUCUUUUGUUCUCUGAAUUGUUGUUUGUAACUCUGAGACUUUUGUGCACCGUCAUAUCCAUCACUGUGAAGGAUUAUGAUCAGCAGCUUCAUUAGGUCACUAAAUUUUAACUCACACAUUUCUAAACUGAAAUGAGCAAAUCCACUUGAGGUUGUCUAUUUCUGAAUUUAUGUUUUUGUAGUGUCAUGCCUUCAGUUUGUGUUGCAUAUAUAUGGGUGAACAAUGAAUGUCAAACAGGAAAAUUGCUCACCAAUCGUUACAUUCAGAACCAUGUGUACCGAAUCUUUCUUAGACAUCAUCUUUUAUAUGCAUCAUCAAGUUAUAGCGUAUGCCUGACCUUCACGUUUAUCUUUUCAUGGUCAUGAAAAACGUAAUGUGCAUUGGUUUCGUACAAGGCACUGCCAUGGCAUGGCGAGGCACCCACAAAGCACCGCUUGCUUCCAUUCUGAGGUGGACUAGCGCUUGGGUAGUCACGCGGAUCUCCAAACCAGCGCCCUCCCACGGCGCAGCUCCACCGUGUUGACCGGCGCUUCCUACACCAUGGAUCAAAUAAACAGCCGCCUCAGCAUAGCCAUCCACAAUGCUCUCCUGCCUCCGUUCCCCCUCAGAUUCUUAUAUAUCCACGAGGGGGACAUUUAUUAACAAAGAGUGUUACUCUUGGUGGCCGUAUUGAUCUCCCGUCCCAUGCCACCAUUGCGACCGAUGGCUCCACUUUGACUUUGUCAACUCCACUGACUAUCUCGACUACGUCAUAUUGCAACCCCGAUGCCCACUGGUUAUGCAGUAACAUGCUUCUGAACACCAGGUUGCAACUCCAGCUUCGCCGACGAACUUGCUCGCUGCUCUAGAAGGUAAAUCAUAUGCAUAGCCAUGGAAUGGCACAUACUGGCCUGAGGCUGUACAAAUUCAUCGCAAGGUCGGGUCAGUCCCAAAGUUCAAAGAGGAAAAAAUUCAUUUGGAAGCUGGAAAAUACAUUACUCGCGGCAAGCCUGGUGAGCACUACUUAGAUGAUUUCACUGCCCACUGUGUGUGGGAAAUACAGUUAAGCUGUAUAACAAAAAUAUUUGCAAUCUGCGAAAUAUCAUCAAAGACAAGAAAACACCCGACCAUUAUACUUUAGCACACACUUCUCUAAUAGAAGCCUCUUCCCGCACAUGGAUGCUGAUCAUGAUGAGCUACCAAUCAGUACAGGAGACGGGACCACCAGUGUCAUGGCCCUCUUUAUCAAGGGUGUCGACAACAGGGCUACACUCACAAAGAACUGGAGCAGCUUCCAUAAGGCAAACAUCAAGAAAGGGUGUGCAUAUGCUUUCGCCUUCAAGUGCGCGUCCAAGGGCCUCUGCAUGGUUGUUUAUUCAAUCUAAGCAGGUCACAAUAGUCCUUAGCUAUGUAACUUGGUAUUACUAUAAAUACCUAUUGAGACUUUUAUAUCUGGCAUCAUUUUGGAUCUUAUGUAAGAAAAUUAUGAUAAUCCUGCCCGUAUGACUAUCA
Long non-coding RNA from Triticum aestivum (bread wheat), 3581 nucleotides. RefSeq lists it as uncharacterized. The transcript has 9 exons. The record is from RefSeq and is a predicted model, not a curated record. NCBI's taxonomy places the organism in Eukaryota, Viridiplantae, Streptophyta, Magnoliopsida, Poales, Poaceae.